Molecule: ribosomal RNA, 1482 nt
Filed under: uncultured organism
Description: SSU rRNA
Rfam family: Bacterial small subunit ribosomal RNA
Source: RNAcentral
UGAACGCUGGCGGCGUGCCUAAUACAUGCAAGUCGAACGAGUUCUGAUUAUUGAAAGGUGCUUGCAUCUUGAUUUUAAUUUUGAACGAGUGGCGGACGGGUGAGUAACACGUGGGUAACCUGCCCUUAAGUGGGGGAUAACAUUUGGAAACAGAUGCUAAUACCGCAUAAAUCCAAGAACCGCAUGGUUCUUGGCUGAAAGAUGGCGUAAGCUAUCGCUUUUGGAUGGACCCGCGGCGUAUUAGCUAGUUGGUGAGGUAACGGCUCACCAAGGCAAUGAUACGUAGCCGAACUGAGAGGUUGAUCGGCCACAUUGGGACUGAGACACGGCCCAAACUCCUACGGGAGGCAGCAGUAGGGAAUCUUCCACAAUGGACGCAAGUCUGAUGGAGCAACGCCGCGUGAGUGAAGAAGGCUUUCGGGUCGUAAAACUCUGUUGUUGGAGAAGAAUGGUCGGCAGAGUAACUGUUGUCGGCGUGACGGUAUCCAACCAGAAAGCCACGGCUAACUACGUGCCAGCAGCCGCGGUAAUACGGAGGUGGCAAGCGUUAUCCGGAUUUAUUGGGCGUAAAGCGAACGCAGGCGGUUUUUUAAGUCUGAUGUGAAAGCCCUCGGCUUAACCGAGGAAGUGCAUCGGAAACUGGGAAACUUGAGUGCAGAAGAGGACAGUGGAACUCCAUGUGUAGCGGUGAAAUGCGUAGAUAUAUGGAAGAACACCAGUGGCGAAGGCGGCUGUCUGGUCUGUAACUGACGCUGAGGCUCGAAAGCAUGGGUAGCGAACAGGAUUAGAUACCCUGGUAGUCCAUGCCGUAAACGAUGAAUGCUAGGUGUUGGAGGGUUUCCGCCCUUCAGUGCCGCAGCUAACGCAUUAAGCAUUCCGCCUGGGGAGUACGACCGCAAGGUUGAAACUCAAAGGAAUUGACGGGGGCCCGCACAAGCGGUGGAGCAUGUGGUUUAAUUCGAAGCAACGCGAAGAACCUUACCAGGUCUUGACAUCUUUUGAUCACCUGAGAGAUCAGGUUUCCCCUUCGGGGGCAAAAUGACAGGUGGUGCAUGGUUGUCGUCAGCUCGUGUCGUGAGAUGUUGGGUUAAGUCCCGCAACGAGCGCAACCCUUAUGACUAGUUGCCAGCAUUUAGUUGGGCACUCUAGUAAGACUGCCGGUGACAAACCGGAGGAAGGUGGGGAUGACGUCAAAUCAUCAUGCCCCUUAUGACCUGGGCUACACACGUGCUACAAUGGAUGGUACAACGAGUUGCGAGACCGCGAGGUCAAGCUAAUCUCUUAAAGCCAUUCUCAGUUCGGACUGUAGGCUGCAACUCGCCUACACGAAGUCGGAAUCGCUAGUAAUCGCGGAUCAGCACGCCGCGGUGAAUACGUUCCCGGGCCUUGUACACACCGCCCGUCACACCAUGAGAGUUUGUAACACCCGAAGCCGGUGGCGUAACCCUUUUAGGGAGCGAGCCGUCUAAGGUGGGACAAAAA